This 69-nucleotide transfer RNA is filed under the name bovine gut metagenome. It matches the Rfam family "tRNA". Rfam says of the family: Transfer RNA (tRNA) molecules are approximately 80 nucleotides in length. Their secondary structure includes four short double-helical elements and three loops (D, anti-codon, and T loops). Further hydrogen bonds mediate the characteristic L-shaped molecular structure. tRNAs have two regions of fundamental functional importance: the anti-codon, which is responsible for specific mRNA codon recognition, and the 3' end, to which the tRNAs corresponding amino acid is attached (by aminoacyl-tRNA synthetases). tRNAs cope with the degeneracy of the genetic code in two manners: having more than one tRNA (with a specific anti-codon) for a particular amino acid; and 'wobble' base-pairing, i.e. permitting non-standard base-pairing at the 3rd anti-codon position. The record is from RNAcentral. RNAcentral also lists the same sequence under 2 other names.
CGAAGUGGCUCAGUUGGUAGAGCAACGCAUUCGUAAUGCGUGGGUCACGGGUUCGAGUCCCGUCUUCGG